Long non-coding RNA from Marmota monax (woodchuck), 2944 nucleotides. RefSeq lists it as uncharacterized. The transcript is spliced from 2 exons. Lineage: Eukaryota; Metazoa; Chordata; Mammalia; Rodentia; Sciuridae. The record is from RefSeq and is a predicted model, not a curated record.
GGUGCCCUUUGGUGAUAUCCACGUGCUUCAUCUCAGAUUCCUCAGUCCUCUUCUGGGGCUGGGUGGGGACGGGGCAGCAAGUUGGAUACCAAGGCUGUGCUUCUCCACCACUCCUGCAGGCCCCAAGGACUGGUCAUGGGUGGUCAUGAUUCUCCACAUCUGAGUCAUAGCAAAGCGGAGCCAUUCCCCCUCGGGAGAAAGGAGAUUCUCUUUACAUUCCAUCUCCUGCACCUCCACCACAGGUCUGCUUUUCGGGGGUUGGUUGCCAGUCAGCUGGCUGCUCCUGACCCGCAGACUCUGUGGCCCACGCUCUCUCCUGCAGGGAAAGGGAUGCGAUGCAAUAUUAUUUUGAGUGGAUUCCUCGUGAUUCUCCAUGCAAGUGACCAUGUCACCUACACAAGGAGACAGUCUCCUUCUUUGUAUGUAGUCCAGGUGUCUUUCUUCCCUCAGUGCUCUGGCGAGGCCUCACAGGCUGGUGCUGAAUGGCAGCCAUGGGGUCUGUUUCUUGGGGAGCAAGGAGCAUCUUCUCCCCGUUUAGCUCGAGAUCUGCUGUGGGUUUUUAUAGGUUCCCUUGACCACCUAGAAGUCCCCUGCUGUUCCUAGUGGGUUGAACAUUUUUAUCAUGAAAAGCUAGGGGAUUUCAUCAAAUUAUUUUUGUGUGUCUAGCAAGAUAGUCUUGUGACUUUUCCUCUUUAUUCUGUUGAUAUAAUUUAUUAUACUAAUUUGGAUGUUGAACCAAACUUGUACGCCUGGGAUAAAUCCUGGAUCACGGUGUGUGGUUUUCUCUGUCGGUGGCUUCUGUGGGGUCUGUUUUGAUGUGAUUUCUGCACUGGACUUCAUCAGCAGUCUUCUUUCCAUGAGGUGUUUUACCUGGUGCAGGCGCAAUGGGAUCAUGGCCUCAGAAUGUGGGCUGGUAGGUGCCCCCGCCUCUGCUCCUUGGGAAGGUCUGUGGUGAGUUCAUACUGCUUUCAAACAGCCCGUGGGACUUGGUGAGGCCCCCUGGCCCGGGUUUUCCAUUACUAGUGUGAUCUCUCCCUUCUGUGUAGUCUGUUCAGAUUGUGCCUCUCCUUGAGUCAGUUUCACUUUGUGCCUUUCUUGGAAUUGGUCCAUUUUGUCUACAUUUUCUAUUUGUCAGUGAACGAUUGUUGGCAAUGUUCUUUUUCCUUCUGUGGCACUGGGGAUGGAGCCCAUGGCCUCGCACCUGCUGGACAAGUGUUGACCACUGAGAAUCCCAGUGUUCCUCUACAAUCCUCUCAUCUCUGGGGGGUCAGCAGUGGCCUCCUUCUCUAAUCUAUUGUUAGGUAGUAGCUAGCAAGGAGCAGUGAAAUGCUUGGCAAAGUCACAAGUGUUCUUUUGUAAGGGUAAAAGAAAUUGAAGUUAAAGCGUAAAAGUUAAAGGGUAAAAGACUGGGUGUUGUAAAGUUUCUAAGCUGCAAGGUCUGAGUUAAAAUGUAAAGGAUUAGGUAUUGUUAGGUUUCUAUGCUACCUGCAAAACCUGAAAUUUCUGUAGCUGUUAAGACAACGCUUGGAACUGCCCAGUAAAUAUUUCCCCUGACUAUUGGAUUGUUUAAUAAGGGCUCUGUGUGGUCGCACGUAGGCAUUGCAGGGCCUGGACCAAUCAGUUUAAAUGUAACCCCCUCCUUAGGAAUGACCUAUCACUCCAGCCUGACCUGUUCCCGCCAAUGAAUGAACCAAUCAGGUUUAGGAGUUGUUGUUCAAUUUUCCCGCGCCUCAUGAUGAUUUGUUCUGAUGUAUACAAAGCCCUCCGCCCUCCCCAAAAAGUGUACUUAAGCAGUGCUCAGCCCCUGCUCGGGGCUCUGGGCUGCUUUCCCUUCUUGAGUGGGCACGGAGCCCCAGCAUGCUGGUUCAAUAAAUCCCCUUCUGCGAAUUGCAUGAGUGGUCACUUGGUGGUCUCUUUCUCCGACGUUUCGCUGGACCCUUACAUUUGGUGCGUUGGCCGGGAAAAGCGCAUUGCUGGACAAGGAAACCCCCAACGGACUCCUUUAGGGGACCACCUAUCACUCGAAUGGCCCUCCAGCCUAAUACUUCUCAAUUGGACUUUUAUCAUGGACCACUCGAUAGACCCAAUAUUUUUAAAGGGGGACUCCAAACUGCUUGCCCCAUACCGUCCCUUUUCAGCCUGAAGAAGCCAGAAAGAUUCUCUUCGCCCCCACUUCCUUACAGCAGUAAGGAGUUCCCAAAUUAGAGGGGGAAAUGAAGCCAGAUUUUAAGUUAGGUAGUCAGUGUAGUUAGAUAAAUUGGGGUCUAAUACCGAGUGAAAUCUAAAAUGGAGGCCGUGCUGAAAAUGAUUCCAGGGAACGCAAAACAACUCAUGAAAUGUGAAACCCUUCAAUAAUUGUGAUGCAUUACUUUUAAGAUUAAAAGUAGUCAGAAAAAGGAGUGGGGAAUGUAAGGGUAAAAGAAAUUGAAGUUAAAGCGUAAAAGUUAAAGGGUAAAAGACUGGGUGUUGUAAAGUUUCUAAGCUGCAAGGUCUGAGUUAAAAUGUAAAGGAUUAGGUAUUGUUAGGUUUCUAUGCUACCUGCAAAACCUGAAAUUUCUGUAGCUGUUAAGACAACGCUUGGAACUGCCCAGUAAAUAUUUCCCCUGACUAUUGGUUGUUUAAUAAGGGCUCUGUGUGGUCGCACGUAGGCAUUGCAGGGCCUGGACCAAUCAGUUUAAAUGUAACCCCCUCCUUAGGAAUGACCUAUCACUCCAGCCUGACCUGUUCCCGCCAAUGAAUGAACCAAUCAGGUUUAGGAGUUGUUGUUCAAUUUUCCCGCGCCUCAUGAUGAUUUGUUCUGAUGUAUACAAAGCCCUCUGCCCUCCCCAAAAAGUGUACUUAAGCAGUGCUCAGCCCGUGCUCGGGGCUCUGGGCUGCUCUCCCUUCUUGAGUGGGCACGGAGCCCCAGCAUGCUGGUUCAAUAAAUCCCCUUCUGCGAAUUGCA